RNAcentral lists this transfer RNA (68 nucleotides) under human gut metagenome. It matches the Rfam family "tRNA". Rfam says of the family: Transfer RNA (tRNA) molecules are approximately 80 nucleotides in length. Their secondary structure includes four short double-helical elements and three loops (D, anti-codon, and T loops). The record is from RNAcentral.
CGGACAUAGUUUAUCGGUAGAACAUUAGCUUCCCAAGCUGAAUAGGUGGGUUCGACUCCCAUUGUCCG